AGAGUUUGAUCAUGGCUCAGGACGAACGCUGGCGGCGUGCUUAACACAUGCAAGUCGAACGGAAAGGCCCUUCGGGGUGCUCGAGUGGCGAACGGGUGAGUAACACGUGGGUGAUCUGCCCUGCACUUUGGGAUAAGCCUGGGAAACUGGGUCUAAUACCGAAUAGGACUCCGGACUGCAUGGUCUGGGGUGGAAAGCUUUUGCGGUGUGGGAUGGGCCCGCGGCCUAUCAGCUUGUUGGUGGGGUGAUGGCCUACCAAGGCGACGACGGGUAGCCGGCCUGAGAGGGUGACCGGCCACACUGGGACUGAGAUACGGCCCAGACUCCUACGGGAGGCAGCAGUGGGGAAUAUUGCACGAUGGGCGCAAGCCUGAUGCAGCGACGCCGCGUGAGGGAUGACGGCCUUCGGGUUGUAAACCUCUUUCAGCACAGACGAAGCGCGAGUGACGGUAUGUGCAGAAGAAGGACCGGCCAACUACGUGCCAGCAGCCGCGGUAAUACGUAGGGUCCGAGCGUUGUCCGGAAUUACUGGGCGUAAAGAGCUCGUAGGUGGUUUGUCGCGUUGUUCGUGAAAACUCACAGCUUAACUGUGGGCGUGCGGGCGAUACGGGCAGACUGGAGUACUGCAGGGGAGACUGGAAUUCCUGGUGUAGCGGUGGAAUGCGCAGAUAUCAGGAGGAACACCGGUGGCGAAGGCGGGUCUCUGGGCAGUAACUGACGCUGAGGAGCGAAAGCGUGGGGAGCGAACAGGAUUAGAUACCCCGGUAGUCCAA
This 773-nucleotide ribosomal RNA is filed under the name uncultured bacterium. RNAcentral describes it as "bacterial SSU rRNA". It matches the Rfam family "Bacterial small subunit ribosomal RNA", at positions 8 to 798 of the family's 1533-position model. The record is from RNAcentral.